RNAcentral lists this unclassified non-coding RNA (1669 nucleotides) under Daphnia magna. RNAcentral's name for it is "metallo-beta-lactamase domain-containing protein 1, transcript variant X3". The record is from RNAcentral. Lineage: Eukaryota; Metazoa; Arthropoda; Branchiopoda; Diplostraca; Daphniidae.
CUAAAGAAUUAACCAAUGUAUUUGAUGGAGUCACGUUUCAAGCGUCUCCUAGAUGCCGUCGUGUUCGUAAACAGCAGCGCGAACAACAAGAGUAGCGGGAGAAAUUGGGGAGGUAUAAAUAAAAAAAAAAAUUUUAAUUACAGCAAAUGUCGUUUUCUGAAAAUGCCAAACAUAGUUAAAGUCUUAUUUAGUGGGUAUUCUUCAGCAGUAAGUGAAAAAGAAGAUGAAAAUCUGCCCUACGUCCACGCGAAUUGCUCGUGUGUCUUGGUCACCGGCAGUACCAAUUUAAUUGUCGAUACUAUGACACCCUGGGAUAGAGAUCGGAUCUUAAAGGCCUUAAAUUCGAAUGGAUUAAGUCCUGAUGAUAUUAACUAUGUGGUAUCCACACAUGGCCAUUCUGACCACACUGGCAACAACAACUUGUUUUUAAAAGCCAAACAUAUAGUAGGCUUUGCUAUUUCUGUUAAAGAUCAAUACUUUCUACAUCCAUUUGAUAGAGAUAUUCCAUUUGACAUAAGUGAAGGCAUUCAAGUAAUUCCUACACCCGGACAUACAGCAGAUGAUGUUAGCAUCAUUGUGAACACUGAAAAUCUUGGCACAGUUGUCAUAGCAGGAGAUAUUUUUGAACGUGAAGAAGAUAUUGAACACCCUGAGGUAUGGAGAGCAUGUGGUAGUAUCAAUCCUUCACAACAGGAAAAUUCUCGUGCAAUUAUAGCCAGCUUAGCGGAUUACAUUGUUCCGGGCCAUGGUCCAAUGUUUAGAGUCACAGAUACAAUGAAAAAAAAGCUCUCCAGAAAUGGUAUUGGGUGCCACCAAUGAUUGGCUACUAUUUUAUUUUGGAUUAGCAGCCAUGGUUUCAUUGUCUUUGGAUAAUAGAUAUUUCUAUUAGAAGAUUUUAAAGAUAAAUAUUAAAUCUGUGAACAUUGACAUAGGUGUUGGCUUUUGGUGGCUAACUGGUUAAUAAGUUGGGUAACUCAAGACUCAGAAGCAUCUGUAACUUUUGAACGUCAACCUACCUUGCAUGAAUGGCAAACUGCAGCAGCGAAAAAAUGCUAUUAAAGAACUUGUGCACCACAAAGUUCCUACUCCAAGGACAGGAAUUACCUUUUAACCAGAAACACUAAUCAACACUUUAAGCAAAUGCCAACUAUUGAGGAAAAGUCUACUAAUCAGAUUUGAUGAGAACGAACAGAGCUUUAACGAAGGCAAAAGUAGAUUUAGAAUCGGCACUAGCCAUAUGUACAGAAUUAACAUCAAAUGCAGCUGAAUAAGGUUAUAUUGCAAUCAGAAGAACCAAAAGCCGAAACCAUCACCAAAAUCAAUGACAGCCAAGUUGCUGCGAUGAAAAAGUUGGGAAACAGAUAGUCUAAAGUGGACCCGUUGGAAGCUAAAAAAGUAGACGUUGUCCAGUUAGAAGCUCAGUCUCAGCAGGAGAAAACCACCGGUUCAAUUGAAACAGAACUCAACCAGAAUAAACAAAAAGAAUACCAGGUAGUGUUGGCGAUAUAUCUGUACUCGAAUAGAUAUGGUAAAAUCUAUUUCCCCCCGGCAGCCGGUGGGCGCUAGUGUCAAAAUUGUCUAUUUCCCCCCGGCAGCAAAAAGGGCGCUGUGCCCUUUGCGAAGCCUGUGCUGCACAGACAGACCAAUUAAAUGUGUAUUUAAAACCUAA